GUUAGGUGUGGGUGCUCUGUGGGUAUGUUAGGUGUGGGUGCUGUGUGGGUAUUGGUAUUAGAUGUGGGUAUGUUAGGUGUGGGUAUUGGUAUUAGAUGUGGGUAUGUUAGGUGUGGGUGCUGUGUGGGUAUGUUAGGUGUGGGUAUUGGUGUUAAAUGUGGGUAUGUUAGGUGUGGGUGCUGUGUGGGUAUUGGUGUUAGAUGUGGGUAUGUUAGGUGUGGGUGCUGUGUGGGUAUGUUAGGUGUGGGUGCUGUGUGGGUAUUGGUGUUAGAUGUGGGUUUGUUAGGUGUGGGUGCUGUGUGGGUAUUGGUGUUAAAUGUGGGUAUGUUAGGUGUGGGUGCUGUGUGGGUAUUGGUGUUAAAUGUGGGUAUGUUAGGUGUGGGUGCUGUGUGGGUAUUGGUUUUAAAUGUGGGUAUGUUGGGUGUGGGUGCUGUGUGGGUAUUGGUGUUAGAUGUGGGUAUGUUAGGUGUGGGUGCUGUGUGGGUAAUAGAUGUGAGUUGUGGGUAUGGGCGUUGGGUGUGCGUAUUAGCUGUGGGUAUGGGUAUGGGUAUGGGCAUCAGCUGUGGGUACGACUAAACUUCCUUCACAGUAACUGUGUUAAUUAAACAAUCACUGCCAAAGAUGCCACUUUAGAAAAAAAAAACAAUAAAUCCACAAAUAUCUCAGCGACUGUCACUUGCUUCAAAUUACUCUAACAUAAGUAACCUUCCCUAAGUGCUGAAUUAAGCACUUCCUUCCACUAUUCUAGGGUAUUUUAACGUGUUAGAGGGAGGUGGAGAUGCCACAUCCUCCUACUCUCA
Molecule: non-coding RNA, 800 nt
Organism: Cherax quadricarinatus
Lineage: Eukaryota; Metazoa; Arthropoda; Malacostraca; Decapoda; Parastacidae
Source: RefSeq, a predicted model, not a curated record